AAUGGUGGAGCUGCAGAGGACGAGUCUGACGAAGAGAAGAAAGUUAGUGAGGAGUGACAGAGACCAGAGAGAGGGGGAGAGGAAACGCACGCGCGCGCGCACACCGCACUCCGCGCGCUCUCAGGAUGAUGACUCUGUACAGCAAAAGUUUGAAAGUGAAAGAAAGAGACAGUGUCGGGUCAAACUGGUGCACAUGCGCGCUUCAGCUAUGUUUGACUGAAGUUAAAAAAAGAAAGAAAUGAAAGACAAGACGUGCACAUUGUGCGCCUGAGUGCCACUGAUGCGGGGUUUUCAGUGAAGAGUUUCAGAGGAAGAGGAGGUUGAAGACAGACGAACUGGGCUCAGGCGCAGGAUUGAGAAACGGUUUCACCACAGGACUGUCACAUUGGCUCUCACCACGUUCGCCCAUCCUGACAGGCAGCGGGGAAACCACCUGAGAGAAGCAGCUCUGACAGAAGUUUAUACAACAGCAUGUUCAGUGCCUUUAUGAUCACAUCAAACAUGUGCAUCAUCAGACCUAAUGGUUAAAACAUUUGCUUUUUAUUACAGCUGUGUAGUGACAGAUAGUGUAAGAUGGAGUUAUAGGCUCAGCAGGUGAUGUUAGUUAGGAAAGGGAACAAGGGAAGCCCCUGUGCUGCAGUUAAUGAGGUUUACAAGCCUCCAUGAUAUUUCACUUUUUAUUCUGAUCAUUUCCAGCACUAAGUAAGAUUUUCCAAACCCACAAUGACGUCAUUUCUCCAUCAACCGCACGUUCAAGUUCUCUUUUCUGGUGCUGGUCUUUGUUUUAUUAGAGAUUAGAGAGGCUCCCCCCGUGUUGUUGUGUGUGUGGCCAUGCAGUGCAGGCUUUGAUCUAUAAAAUCUAUAAAAACAUUUGUGAAUGUAAUGAAAUAUUCACAAUCACAAUUUCCCUAAUAGGUCAUUUGAUAGUUUCACACUCACUGAGUCUCUUUGAGGGAAAAGUUCAAAUAUGGAGAUGAAAAGUGACUGCUGUGAAGCUCACGUUCAUGUUCAGGUUUUGUUAUUUUUUGUAAAAAGCUGGAGAAAUAGACAACGUCAUGUGACAUAAAUGGGUCCUAUUUCUAAAACAAAUGAAUUGUAUCCCCUUUUAUCACCAAAACAGAUUAGCCAUAUAAUCUUCAGUUUAAAAGAGAACACAUAAAAAUAAUGAUAUGUACUGUACAUGUACAUGUAUGUAGCUCAUCAGCACCUGUGACCUGUUUUAAGUUUGAAUGUUCUCGGAAUAAAGGGCCUGUCAUAGUAAGUAAUCACGAUAUGAAUUUGAAAAGCCAAAUAGCUCACUAUUUAUUCAAUUAAACCUAGUCAAAUUUAAAUAUUUUGCAGAUACAUUCAUACAAAUCAUGUGUCAAGAGGUUGUUUAAAAUGAGGGACAGUCAAUACAGGCUAAGAGUAAAAUGCAUAUUUAGAAAAACAAAUCAAACAAAUGUCGGACUGUGGAGAACUUUUAAA
This is a long non-coding RNA of Solea solea (common sole), 1467 nucleotides long. RefSeq lists it as uncharacterized. The record is from RefSeq and is a predicted model, not a curated record. The transcript is spliced from 3 exons. NCBI's taxonomy places the organism in Eukaryota, Metazoa, Chordata, Actinopteri, Pleuronectiformes, Soleidae.